RNAcentral lists this transfer RNA (80 nucleotides) under Sedimentisphaera salicampi. Its description in RNAcentral is "tRNA-Cys". The record is from RNAcentral. Lineage: Bacteria; Pseudomonadati; Planctomycetota; Phycisphaerae; Sedimentisphaerales; Sedimentisphaeraceae.
AGUUUUCUUUGCUGAGCUUUUCGAAGCCUUCUUCUUUGCAGCAGAAGAACUGUCCGCAGAGCUUUUCUUUGCGGAAGCUU